ACGCCUGACGACCAUAGCACGCGUGAACCACCUGAUCCCUUGCCGAACUCAGAAGUGAAACCGCUUAGCGCCGAUGGUAGUGUGGGGUCUCCCCAUGCGAGAGUAGGUCAUCGUCAGGCACU
Molecule: ribosomal RNA, 122 nt
Filed under: Halomonas sp. TD01
Lineage: Bacteria; Pseudomonadati; Pseudomonadota; Gammaproteobacteria; Oceanospirillales; Halomonadaceae
Source: RNAcentral